AAAUAACGAUACGGGACUCAUCCGAGGCCCCGUAAUCGGAAYGAGUACACUUUAAAUCCUUNAACGAGGAUCCAUUGGAGGGCAAGUCUGGUGCCAGCAGCCGCGGUAAUUCCAGCUCCAAUAGCGUAUAUUAAAGUUGUUGCGGUUAAAAAGCUCGUAGUUGAAUCUGUGUGCCACGCUGUCGGUUCAUCGCUCGCGAUGUUUAACUGACAUGAUUGUGGGACGUCCUACCGGUGGACUUAGCCUCUAUCUCUUCGGAUUUAGGGGCGGUCCAGCUAAUAUCCCAUCGCGGUGCUUUUCAUCGAGUGUCGAGGUGGGCCGGUACGUUUACUUUGAACAAAUUAGAGUGCUCAAAGCAGGCCAUUCUCGCCUGAAUACUGUGUGCAUGGAAUAAUGGAAUAGGACCUCGGUUCUAUUUUGUUGGUUUUCGGAACCCCGAGGUAAUGAUUAAUAGGGACAGAUGGGGGCAUUCGUAUUGCGACGUUAGAGGUGAAAUUCUUGGAUCGUCGCAAGACGGACAGAAGCGAAAGCAUUUGCCAAAAAUGUUUUCAUUAAUCAAGAACGAAAGUUAGAGGUUCGAAGGCGAUCAGAUACCGCCCUAGUUCUAACCAUAAACGAUGCCAGCUAGCGAUCCGCCGAAGUUCCUUUGAUGACUCGGCGGGCAGCUUCCGGGAAACCAAAGCUUUUGGGUUCCGGGGGAAGUAUGGUUGCAAAGCUGAAACUUAAAGGAAUUGA
This 735-nucleotide ribosomal RNA is filed under the name Kapala ivorensis. RNAcentral describes it as "SSU rRNA". It matches the Rfam family "Eukaryotic small subunit ribosomal RNA", at positions 477 to 1167 of the family's 1831-position model. The record is from RNAcentral. Lineage: Eukaryota; Metazoa; Arthropoda; Insecta; Hymenoptera; Eucharitidae.